GGUCGAUUGGCCCAGUGGUUAAGGCAUCUGCUUUACAACACCUUCGUGCCCCACGGAGAUGCGUAUCGCAGAGGAUCGCAGGUUCGAUCCCUGCAUCGAUCA
RNAcentral lists this transfer RNA (102 nucleotides) under Colletotrichum orbiculare MAFF 240422. Its description in RNAcentral is "tRNA-Val for anticodon UAC". It matches the Rfam family "tRNA". From Rfam's summary of the family: Transfer RNA (tRNA) molecules are approximately 80 nucleotides in length. Their secondary structure includes four short double-helical elements and three loops (D, anti-codon, and T loops). Lineage: Eukaryota; Fungi; Ascomycota; Sordariomycetes; Glomerellales; Glomerellaceae. The record is from Rfam by way of RNAcentral.